CCUACGGGAGGCAGCAGUGGGGAAUAUUGGACAAUGGGCGCAAGCCUGAUCCAGCAAUGCCGCGUGAGUGAUGAAGGCCUUAGGGUCGUAAAGCUCUUUUACCAGGGAUGAUAAUGACAGUACCUGGAGAAUAAGCUCCGGCUAACUCCGUGCCAGCAGCCGCGGUAAUACGGAGGGAGCUAGCGUUGUUCGGAAUUACUGGGCGUAAAGCGUACGUAGGCGGUUAUUCAAGUCAGAGGUGAAAGCCCGGGGCUCAACCCCGGAACGGCCUUUGAAACUAGGUAGCUAGAAUCUUGGAGAGGUCAGUGGAAUUCCGAGUGUAGAGGUGAAAUUCGUAGAUAUUCGGAAGAACACCAGUGGCGAAGGCGACUGACUGGACAAGUAUUGACGCUGAGGUACGAAAGCGUGGGGAGCAAACAGGAUUAGAUACCCUGGUAGUCCACGCCGUAAACGAUGAUAACUAGCUGUUCGGCACUUGGUGCUUGAGUGGCGCAGCUACGACAUUAAGUUAUCCGUCCGUCGGGUAGGUACGGUCGCGAGAAGUUAAACGUUAAAAGGUAAAGUUAGACGGUCGUGUAGUUACGUUGUCCGAACGGACGACGACGAGGGAGGAGGAG
RNAcentral lists this ribosomal RNA (617 nucleotides) under uncultured bacterium. Its description in RNAcentral is "bacterial SSU rRNA". The stretch from base 1 to 517 matches the Rfam family "Bacterial small subunit ribosomal RNA", at positions 338 to 873 of the family's 1533-position model. The record is from RNAcentral.